CUCCCGGAGACUCAACAGCUCUGCUCUCUGGAGCAGAGACACCAUGAUGGACGGAGGCUAGAAUCUUCCCGAUAAGCGCACCUUGGGGUGCUUACACACAUCAUUAGAAAUGGGCUAGUCCAGGCUGAAGCAACCUUUCUGGCACUAUGCAGGAGAUCUAUGCAUGAAGCGAGGGUUACUUUGGAGAGGCUGAAGAGAGAGCAAUGCAGAGGUCUCGAGGGAAGCUUUUUUGGUCCCGAGCUUGUAAACUCAUUGAGAAGCAAAGCUGUCCCCAGGGUACACUGAGUUUGCUUUGCCGCUGGGAGCUGGGCGAGUUCCAGGACGAAGACCGAAGAGCUCAAGGCUCGCACU
Alexandromys fortis (reed vole) is the source of this 351-nucleotide long non-coding RNA. RefSeq lists it as uncharacterized. The record is from RefSeq and is a predicted model, not a curated record. The transcript has 3 exons. Lineage: Eukaryota; Metazoa; Chordata; Mammalia; Rodentia; Cricetidae.